AGUGAACGCUGGCGGUAGGCCUAACACAUGCAAGUCGAACGGCAGCACAGUAAGAGCUUGCUCUUACGGGUGGCGAGUGGCGGACGGGUGAGGAAUACAUCGGAAUCUACUUUUUCGUGGGGAUAACGUAGGAAACUUACGCUAAUACCGCAUACGACCUACGGGUGAAAGCAGGGGAUCUUCGGACCUUGCGCGAUUGAAUGAGCCGAUGUCGGAUUAGCUAGUUGGCGGGGUAAAGGCCCACCAAGGCGACGAUCCGUAGCUGGUCUGAGAGGAUGAUCAGCCACACUGGAACUGAGACACGGUCCAGACUCCUACGGGAGGCAGCAGUGGGGAAUAUUGGACAAUGGGCGCAAGCCUGAUCCAGCCAUACCGCGUGGGUGAAGAAGGCCUUCGGGUUGUAAAGCCCUUUUGUUGGGAAAGAAAAGCAGCAGGUUAAUACCCCGCUGUUCUGACGGUACCCAAAGAAUAAGCACCGGCUAACUUCGUG
This 490-nucleotide ribosomal RNA is filed under the name uncultured bacterium. RNAcentral's name for it is "partial 16S ribosomal RNA". It matches the Rfam family "Bacterial small subunit ribosomal RNA", at positions 29 to 507 of the family's 1533-position model. The record is from RNAcentral.